GGCUCCGUACGUGGUGGUUUAGAGGUAUGAUUCCUUCUUAGGGUGGAGGAGGUCCCGGGUUCAAAUCCCGGCUAGGCCU
RNAcentral lists this transfer RNA (79 nucleotides) under Sphaerobolus stellatus SS14. RNAcentral describes it as "tRNA-Pro (AGG) (tRNA-Pro-AGG-12-1)". The stretch from base 12 to 74 matches the Rfam family "tRNA", at positions 5 to 66 of the family's 71-position model. Rfam says of the family: Transfer RNA (tRNA) molecules are approximately 80 nucleotides in length. Their secondary structure includes four short double-helical elements and three loops (D, anti-codon, and T loops). Further hydrogen bonds mediate the characteristic L-shaped molecular structure. tRNAs have two regions of fundamental functional importance: the anti-codon, which is responsible for specific mRNA codon recognition, and the 3' end, to which the tRNAs corresponding amino acid is attached (by aminoacyl-tRNA synthetases). tRNAs cope with the degeneracy of the genetic code in two manners: having more than one tRNA (with a specific anti-codon) for a particular amino acid; and 'wobble' base-pairing, i.e. permitting non-standard base-pairing at the 3rd anti-codon position. The record is from RNAcentral. Lineage: Eukaryota; Fungi; Basidiomycota; Agaricomycetes; Geastrales; Sphaerobolaceae.